This 79-nucleotide transfer RNA is filed under the name Chloroflexota bacterium. RNAcentral describes it as "Chloroflexi bacterium (freshwater metagenome) tRNA-Pro". It matches the Rfam family "tRNA". Rfam says of the family: Transfer RNA (tRNA) molecules are approximately 80 nucleotides in length. The record is from RNAcentral. Lineage: Bacteria; Bacillati; Chloroflexota.
CGGGGCGUAGCGCAGUCUGGCUUAGCGCGCGUGGUUUGGGACCACGAGGUCAGAGGUUCAAAUCCUCUCGCCCCGACCA